This 73-nucleotide transfer RNA is filed under the name Alouatta seniculus (howler monkey). Its description in RNAcentral is "tRNA-Phe". It matches the Rfam family "tRNA". Rfam says of the family: Transfer RNA (tRNA) molecules are approximately 80 nucleotides in length. Their secondary structure includes four short double-helical elements and three loops (D, anti-codon, and T loops). The record is from RNAcentral. Lineage: Eukaryota; Metazoa; Chordata; Mammalia; Primates; Atelidae.
GUUAAUGUAGCUUAAUAAUUUAAAGCAUGACACUGAAAAUGUCUAGAUGGGUAAUCAAUCUACCCCAUAAACA